Molecule: non-coding RNA, 220 nt
Organism: Lingula anatina
Lineage: Eukaryota; Metazoa; Brachiopoda; Lingulata; Lingulida; Lingulidae
Source: Rfam
AAGAUCAUACUUUUAGGGAUCAUUUCUAUAGUAUGUAUCGCCGGGACGUCAGGUAAAACUGAAACCGGACUGUACACUCUGAUGACGAGGUGCAGCAUCCCCUUCUGAGCGCGAAGUGGGCUCCAGGUGCUACUUCCGGGUAGCUGGCCUGGGGUCAUUGAUGACCGUUCCGCUCUUCCAUAAGUGGAGAGUUGGAGGAGCGGGAUGCAUUCAGAGGAGU